RNAcentral lists this ribosomal RNA (253 nucleotides) under uncultured bacterium. RNAcentral's name for it is "partial 16S ribosomal RNA". It matches the Rfam family "Bacterial small subunit ribosomal RNA", at positions 524 to 776 of the family's 1533-position model. The record is from RNAcentral.
UACGUAGGGGGCAAGCGUUGUCCGGAUUUAUUGGGCGUAAAGAGCGUGUAGGCGGCCUGACAGGUCUGCUGUGAAAACUCGAGGCUCAACCUCGAGAUGUCGGCGGAAACCGUCUGGCUAGAGUCCGGAAGAGGAGAGUGGAAUUCCUGGUGUAGCGGUGAAAUGCGCAGAUAUCAGGAGGAACACCGGUGGCGAAGGCGGGUCUCUGGGCCGAUACUGACGCUGAGGAGCGAAAGCGUGGGGAGCAAACAGG